AUGGUGGAUUCCCCCGCUGCUCGUGAGAAGGAGGAGGAGGCGACCUUGCUGCCAGAAGAAUGGCUCAACCUCGCCAUUCUCUGCAAGGCAUUCGUUUCCAAGGCCAUGAACGGCCUGGGCACGCUGGCGACCAUCUGGGCGACUGUUGUCCUGCUCGGUGGAUUCGCGGUCCUCACUAAAAAGCAGGACUUUUGGUACGUCACCAUCAUCGCUUUCGUCGAAUCAAUCGGGGUCCUGGGUGGUUACGAGGAUCCCACAUACCAAAUUUUCAUACGCACACCAGGAUUGCUGAUAGACGCUUUGAAGUCGGCAGAUAAGAAGGAGCAACAACCCAGUUUGUGGAGAAGAAGAAUCCAGCAUCAUCAACAACAACAACAAAACCAGUCUAGAGGCACGAGAAGAAACAGGCUGCAGGUUAGAAAACAUAAACAUUUUGAGGAGCUGACCAUGUCCAAAAGAUGCCUCGGGGUGGUCAUCCUUGUGGUCAUGCGGCUGGUCGAGAUCGCCGCUGUUGCCAUAUGCAUUGCCGUGUCCUUUGGGCGUCUCAAGAAGCAGGACUACGUGGACCCCAAGGACAGAGACGCGGCGGACCACCAGAACAUCAGGCUGUCCCUGAACAUCUUCUACGGGCUGGUGCUCGCCCAGAGCAUCAUCUUCAUCAUCAUGCGGCUGAGCCCGGAUUCGCUGUUAGGGUUCCACAUCAGAGUCAAGUAUAGAUUAUUUGGGUCGUCCGGCCGAGAAAUAAUGUACCGCUACCUGAGUGAUAACUACCUAGAGUUCAUCACUGGGAAUGUGCGCACCACCCUCAAGAUGAACCUCAUCACCUUCGCCAUGAAGUUGGUGGUGUCUGACUCCACUGUGGAUGACCAGUUGGUUGGGAUCCGAGCCAUGGACCGCAUCCUCAGAUCAGUGGAGUACAACAGCCUGGCCCUCACGAGGCUUCGAGCAUCUCUCGACGCUGACUCUUUGGGGAGGCUGGUCGGGGUGCUAGGCUUGGUUAGGACACCAGACGAGAAGGAAAUGAGAGGCCAUGCUGCAAGAGUAGUUCUCAAACUAGCUCCAGACAUUCCGGUCGACACUUGUCAUCAAGCCAUGUCUCUCAUCUCUUCUUCCCUGGUGGAGACGGCAAGCAACAUGGAUGUGGAUCUCGUCUGGUUUGGCUUGCGCAUCCUAGACAAGCUCACAGAUAACCAACAGAACUGUCGGCAGGCCAAGGGCGACCUCAGUGAUCUACUGCCCAAGAUCAUAGACCUCACCAACCUCAACCAGCGUGGGCGUGGCAGCAGCAUCUCCGAUUCUUGGAUUGAACAAGAGAUUAUUCCUCUGCUUGAAAGAGAAGAGGACAUCCCUCCCACUGCCAUACAGAUGAUUGACCAACAGAUUAUUGUUGGCAUGUCGCUCAAAAUCUUGAGCAAGCUGGUUGCCAAGCCUGGUGAUGUUGGGAAGGGCCUCAGGGAAAAGGCCGCAAAAUAUAUGAACCUCCUCACCGACAGCGGGACAAUCUUGGAGCACGUGGGAGCAGCAAGAGUCAUAGCAUGCUUAGCACUGAAUGAAGAUCAAAAGCAAGAGCUUGGGGGAUCACCUCAGAUCAUAAGGAAGCUCAAGGAGUGUCUUCUCUCCAAGGAGCCACACGUAGAUAUCACCAAAGUGGCUGCCAAGUUACUGCUUCUUGAGUACACUACCAGGGAUCAGCUGAACCAGAUUAAGUCGUCCAUCGAGGAGAAGAAUGUUCUGCAAGAUCCAAGCUUCUCUGUACCGACCACGGCCUUCAUAGGAGCACUUGGCCUGGAUCAAAUUUUGCCAUCAUGGAUACAGAAGCAGCAGAUCGCCGUGCAAGAUCUUGAUCUGGAUGAUCUACUUUCAGCGUAG
Molecule: ribosomal RNA, 1869 nt
Filed under: Triticum aestivum (bread wheat)
Lineage: Eukaryota; Viridiplantae; Streptophyta; Magnoliopsida; Poales; Poaceae
Description: partial small subunit ribosomal RNA
Source: RNAcentral